Molecule: ribosomal RNA, 301 nt
Filed under: uncultured bacterium
Lineage: Bacteria
Description: partial 16S ribosomal RNA
Rfam family: Bacterial small subunit ribosomal RNA
Source: RNAcentral
CAGUAGCCGCGGGAAUACGUAGGUGGCAAGCGUUGUCCGGAAUUAUUGGGCGUAAAGGGCUCGCAGGCGGUUUCUUAAGUCUGAUGUGAAAGCCCACGGCUCAACCGGGGAGGGUCAUUGGAAACUGGGAAACUUGAGUGCAGAAGAGGAGAGUGGAAUUCCACGUGUAGCGGUGAAAUGCGUAGAGAUGUGGAGGAACACCAGUGGCGAAGGCGACUCUCUGGUCUGUAACUGACGCUGAGGAGCGAAAGCGUGGGGAGCGAACAGGAUUAGAUACCCCCGUAGUCCCUGUCUCUUAUAC